Long non-coding RNA from Daphnia pulicaria, 335 nucleotides. RefSeq lists it as uncharacterized. Lineage: Eukaryota; Metazoa; Arthropoda; Branchiopoda; Diplostraca; Daphniidae. The record is from RefSeq and is a predicted model, not a curated record. The transcript is spliced from 3 exons.
AUCAAUAUUUUUUCCAGACAAAUGUCAUGUUGAUUUAACUGGUAUCGUCGUACGAUGAGAACUGCUCGUCAACCAAUAUCGAUGAAAAGAAGCUCAGAGUUGUCACAGCCGUGAAUGUCAGCACGCAAACAGUGGUUCACCUUGCUGCUGGUGGGGGUGUUCAUGUAAGCUGUCUUCAUCAUUACAAGAACUGGUGUUAGAAGACCUCAGGAACAUCGUCAAUAUCGCAUUCAUACAUCAACGUUGGUGUCAUACCUUCUACUUAACAUUCGCAUACCUGCAGAGUUUGGAAGUUAAACUCUAUUUGGUCAUCCAGUCAAGGUCCGGGCCGUGAA